AAUAUAAAUUAUAAUAUUAAUAUAUGUAAUAUGAUAAUUAUUAUAUAUUAAUAAUAUAUAAUAUAUAAAAUAAAAAAAUAUAUAUAAUAAUUUUUUAUUUAUAACUAACUUUUUCCUUCUUUUCCUUUCUUUUCCUUUCAACCAAACAACCGUAACGAAAAACUACUUUUUUUUCCUACAAACCAAAUGCUAAAAGCGUAAAAUUUAUUUUCCUCCGAAAAUUUUUUUUUUCACCGAAAAUUUUUUUUCCGCAGUUUUACGUCAAACCAAGCAGCCCCUUAGUGAAAUACCUGAGUACCAGGUAUAU
This 307-nucleotide long non-coding RNA is filed under the name Ananas comosus (pineapple). Its description in RNAcentral is "long non-coding RNA (ACOM_LNC018763)". Lineage: Eukaryota; Viridiplantae; Streptophyta; Magnoliopsida; Poales; Bromeliaceae. The record is from RNAcentral.